AGGAAGGGAAGGGAGAGUGGAGGAAAAAUCCAAGCUUUACUCUAGGAGAGCGCCUGCGUAGGAAGGUGGGGAGGGCGAGGAGGUGGUAGUCGUGGAUCCACACGAAAUCAUCGUCCGGGUUGAGGAGCUCGAUGAGGCGCUCGGCGAAGAGCUUGUUGGCAGAGAGGUAGGAAAGCCAGAGGGUGCGGUCGAAGGCGAGGCCACCGGUGGAGGAGGGCGACAGGGGGAGAAGGUAGUGGAGGAGAGGCCAGAGGUAGUGCUUGCAGAAGCAAUGGUAGAAGCGGUGGUGGAGGUCGGCAGGGAGGAAGACAGGGAGGCAGCGGAAUCUGGCGUAAAGGAGUUGGGAGACGGCGGCGCGGUGGGCGGGGCCGACGGCGGCAGGGAGGGUGCCGACGUGGAGGACUUCGGCGUCGGGCGGGAGGCCAGAUCGGAGCUGGAGCCCGAGAGCGUCGGGGUCCCAGGCGAAUGCCAGCCCGGAGGACUCCGCGGGAUCAGCGGCGACGCGGAGGGGGAGGCGGUGGGCGACGACGAUCCGCCGGUCGCGGGCCGGCGUGGGUGAGAAGGAGGAGAGCUGGUCGUCAUCUCCAGGUGCGGCGUCGGCGUCGGCGUCGGACAUGAGGAGAGCGGGGGGCAGUCGGGGAGGGCGGCGAGGGUCGGGCUCGUCGGCAGCGACGUCGAGGAGGUUGGAAGAUGAGAUGGAAGGCAUGGCCGUAGUGCCGCGAUUAGGGUUAGCUAUCGGUGGGUGUUACAGAGGGGGAGGAGGAAGGAGAGAGGCGGAAGCAUUUGAUGCGAC
This 793-nucleotide long non-coding RNA is filed under the name Musa acuminata (dwarf banana). Its description in RNAcentral is "long non-coding RNA (MACU_LNC001097)". The record is from RNAcentral. Lineage: Eukaryota; Viridiplantae; Streptophyta; Magnoliopsida; Zingiberales; Musaceae.